GAUGGGAUUUCGCCAUGCUGGCCAGGCUGGUCUCAAUCUCUUGACCCUCGUGAUCCACCACCUCGGCCUCCUAGAGUGCUGUGAUUAGAGGCAAGAGCCACUGUGCCCAGCCUCUAUUUAUUUUUUUAUUUAUUUUUAUUUAUUUUGAGAUGAAGUUUUGCUCUUGUUUCCCGGGCUGGAGUCUGAUGACACUAUCUCAGCCCAGUGCAACUUCCACAUUCUGGGUUCAAGUGAUUGUCCUGCCUCAGCCUCCCACGUGGCUGGGGUUACAGGGAUGUACCCCCACGCGUGACUAAUUUUAUAUUUUUAGUAGAGAUAGGGUCUCACAUGUUGGUCAGGUUGGUCUUGAACUCCUGACUUCAGGUGAUCCACCUGCCUCAGCCUCCCAAAGUGCUGGGAUUACAGCCAUGAGCCACUGUGCCAGGCCUGUUUUUAUUUUUUGCAUGACCUAGUUCUGUGGUUGAGUACGAAUGUGGUCUGAAAUCUGAAGAUAACAAAACAAAGAAAGCAGGGGAGUUGGAAAAGAAAACGAAGGGAAGAGUUUGAUGGAAGUUAAGUAUUAUGGUCAAUGCCAAAAUUCAGGAGCAGAAAAAUCACUGGGUAUUCUUACAGCGUUGACGCUUCACCAUGUUACCAAGGCUGGUCUUGAACUCCUGAGCUCGAGCGAUCUGCCUACCUUGGCCUCCCAAAGUGCUGGGAUUAUAGGCACGAGCCACUGCCCCAACCAACAUGAACAAUUAAAAAAAAUUUGUUUGUUUGUUUGCUGUGCUGUCUUUCUUCUAUUGUGAUGCUGCUGUGAGACGAUGUGGAUCAGGGUCUUAAAAACCUUAAAAGUCUUUCAGGCUGGUGUGGUGGCUCAUGUCCGUAAUCUCAGAACUUUGGGAGGCCAAGGCGGGUGGAUCACCAGUGGUCAAUAGUUUGAGACCAGCCCAGCUAACAUGGCGAACCCCAUCUUUACUAAAAAUACAAAAAGUAUCUGGGCAUGGUGCCAGGUGCCUGUAAUCCCAGCUACUUGGGAGGCUAAAGCAGGGAGAAUUGCUUGAACCUGGGAGGCAGAGGUUUCAGGGAGCCGAGAUCAGCCCACAGCACUCCAGCCUGGGUGACAGAGGGAGACUCCAUCUCAAACAAAACAAAACAAAACAAAACAACAACAAAAGUCUUUCAAAGCCAAAAUGUUCUGAGGCACUGUGUUAAAGCCUAGAGCUCCAGCUGAAGCUAGUGCCUGAGUCCAGAUGAUGUUGAAGAAGGAGCAGGGCCCAGAGGGCACCACUCUCAGAAGCCAGGCUCAAAUGUUUCUUACCUCCACCCCAAGAUGACCCAAGAAGACAGAGUUCCUCAGACUCCCAGUGUCCCUAGGAGGUGGCAACCUUGACUCCUGGCCAGAGUUCAGAGUCCUGGUUGUUAACACCAAUAAACCUUUAUAUGCCAGGGAUACUACCAUGAGAAGACAUGGUCCCUGAGCCCAGCCCUGCUGAUCCUGUGGGAGGGGGAGGACAGCAGAGGACAAAGGCAGAGACCUGAGUGCUGGAGAGACUCAGCAAAGGGCCCCCAGCCAUUCUCAGGAAUGGAGCAUUUCUUGGUAGAGUGGUAUUCCUGAAAUAGUUUGGAAAGCUGGGGCAGGGGAGCCUGAGGACACAGCAAGGAGCUCAGUGGCAGGAGCAGGCAGAGCAAUCUUUGAAGAAUGGAGGUCCUGAGAGGUGAGGGCCUUGAGCACCAGCGUCCAGCCUUAGCGGGUAUGCAUAUGUUCAGCUCCCUGAGGACCCAUUCAGGGCAGCUAGGGUGCACAUAAGUCCAGGGGCUUCCCUGUGCUCUGCCCUCCCUCCCCACCCCGCCACCCGGUAGCAGGUUGAGGGCCCAGGCCAUACUGGGUAGUGGGAGAAAUGGAAAGAAAUGGGACAGGAACAGGAGACAAGAGCCCAUGGUGGAAGUCAAAGAGCUGGAAGAGUUUUGGAAAUGGGAGUCUGGGGGAAGAAUUGAUCAAGGGGCGAGUUACCCAGCUGGACAGGUGGGAGGCAAGAGGCCCUGGCAGCUUUGUUUUAUUGGCCGGGCUUGGAGAGGAAAGUGGGUAGCCGUCUGGCGCCUGAAGGCCCGCUCUGGACCUCCCCACCGAGGGAGGUGUCGGGUCCCC
This 2128-nucleotide long non-coding RNA is filed under the name Callithrix jacchus (white-tufted-ear marmoset). RNAcentral describes it as "lncRNA (ENSCJAG00000085439.1)". Lineage: Eukaryota; Metazoa; Chordata; Mammalia; Primates; Cebidae. The record is from RNAcentral.